AGUGAACGCUGGCGGUAGGCCUAACACAUGCAAGUCGAACGGCAGCACAGUAAGAUUUUGCUCUUACCGGUGGCGAGUGGCGGACGGGUGAGGAGUACAUCGGAAUCUACUUUUUCGUGGGGGAUAACGUAGGGAAACUUACGCUAAUACCGCAUACUACGUACGGGUGAAAGCAGGGGUUCUUCGCACCUUGCGCGACUGAAUUAGCCGGUGCCGGAUUAGCUAGUUGGCGGGGUAAAGGCCCACCAAGGCGACGAUCCGUAGCUGGUCUGAGAGGAGGAUCGGCCACACUGGAACUGAGACACGGUCCAGACUCCUACGGGAGGCAGCAGUGGGGAAUAUUGGGCAAUGGGCGCAAGCCUGAUCCAGCCAGACCGCGUGGGUGAAGAAGGCCUUCGGGUUGUAAAGCCCUUUUGUUGGGGAAGAAAAGCAGUAGGUUUAUACCCCGCUGUUCUGACGGUACCCAAAGAAAAAGCACCGGCUAACUACGUG
RNAcentral lists this ribosomal RNA (492 nucleotides) under uncultured bacterium. Its description in RNAcentral is "partial 16S ribosomal RNA". It matches the Rfam family "Bacterial small subunit ribosomal RNA", at positions 29 to 507 of the family's 1533-position model. The record is from RNAcentral.